AUACGUAGGGUGCAAGCGUUGUUCGGAAUUAUUGGGCGUAAAGCGCGUGUAGGCGGUUUGUUAAGUCUGAUGUGAAAGCCCGGAGCUUAACUCCGGAAGUGCAUUGGAUACUGGCAAACUAGAGGACGAGAGAGGGAAGCGGAAUUCCUGGUGUAGCGGUGAAAUGCGUAGAUAUCAGGAGGAACAUCAGUGGCGAAGGCGGCUACCUGGACCAAUACUGACGCUAAGGUGCGAAAGCGUGGGGAGCAAACAGGAUUAGAAACCCCGGUAGUCC
RNAcentral lists this ribosomal RNA (274 nucleotides) under uncultured bacterium. RNAcentral describes it as "partial 16S ribosomal RNA". It matches the Rfam family "Bacterial small subunit ribosomal RNA", at positions 523 to 796 of the family's 1533-position model. The record is from RNAcentral.